This 497-nucleotide ribosomal RNA is filed under the name uncultured bacterium. RNAcentral describes it as "partial 16S ribosomal RNA". It matches the Rfam family "Bacterial small subunit ribosomal RNA", at positions 28 to 507 of the family's 1533-position model. The record is from RNAcentral.
GAUGAACGCUGGCGGCGUGCCUAAUACAUGCAAGUCGAGCGAACGGACGAGAAGCUUGCUUCUCUGAUGUUAGCGGCGGACGGGUGAGUAACACGUGGAUAACCUACCUAUAAGACUGGGAUAACUUCGGGAAACCGGAGCUAAUACCGGAUGAUAUUUUGAACCGCAUGGUUCAACAGUGAAAGACGGUCUUGCUGUCACUUAUAGAUGGAUCCGCGUUGCAUUAGCUAGUUGGUAAGGUAACGGCUUACCAAGGCAACGAUGCGUAGCCGACCUGAGAGGGUGAUCGGCCACACUGGAACUGAGACACGGUCCAGACUCCUACGGGAGGCAGCAGUAGGGAAUAUUGCGCAAUGGGCGAAAGCCUGACGGAGCAACGCCGCGUGAGUGAUGAAGGUCUUCGGAUCGUAAAACUCUGUUAUUAGGGAAGAACAUAUGUGUAAGUAACUGUGCACAUCUUGACGGUACCUAAUCAGAAAGCCACGGCUAACUACGUG